GGCAUUUGGUGGGGCCUGUGUAUCUCGCUCCCGCCAGAUCUUGGGAUGAGUCGCUGCUGUUCUGCGUUCUCCACCUCGGGAGUCCCCGGUGACUGUCACAGCCUCUUGCCCUGUGAUCUGCCGGUUCUGGGAGACGCACAGCUAAGAUGCCAGGACAUCCUGGAAGCUGGGAAAAGGUUCUGCCAACAAAGGAGAUUGUGACACAUUGCUGGGCCUAACACUACGGUGAUGUUACUUACUUGCUUUGGCUGUGCCCUUGGAAGGCAUUGAGACAUACUGCUGUGCCCAGCACCAAGAUGUAACGUGACUCUUCUGCUUCAGGCCUGCCAAAAGAAAAGAUUGUGACAGAUCACUGGACCCAGCACCUAGAGUGACUUCCAGACCAAGAUUCAGCACACAUGU
This 402-nucleotide long non-coding RNA is filed under the name Pongo abelii (Sumatran orangutan). RNAcentral's name for it is "lincRNA". Lineage: Eukaryota; Metazoa; Chordata; Mammalia; Primates; Hominidae. The record is from RNAcentral.